Molecule: long non-coding RNA, 260 nt
Organism: Harmonia axyridis
Lineage: Eukaryota; Metazoa; Arthropoda; Insecta; Coleoptera; Coccinellidae
Exons: 2
Source: RefSeq, a predicted model, not a curated record
GGAAAGUUUGACGUGCAUCCUCUGUCAGGAAUUUAAAAGUUAUCGGUAAUUUGUAUUCAUAAUUAAUCAAUUUUUGUUUCGUCUGUGGAGAAGAGGAAGUAGCAAAAAUGUGAUCUUUUCCAAGAAAUAUAAACAAAUCAAAAAUUUGACAAGAAAACUAGGAAUGAGAUUCACAGGAGAGAAUCUCUGAAAUUAUGGAAUAUGCUCUAAACAUUUCACUUCGUAGUCAUAUAUUGAUACAAUAAAGCUUAGGUUUCUUA